UGAACAUGCCUAGAAGGAGCUUGUCUUGGUGAUUUCGGUUUUGAGCCAUUUCAAUGAACAAGAUGCAGAUUUUCUUUGUUUCUUAACUCACUCUUGGUUNUCUUAGCUUGUUGGUGGUGAAAAACAAUUCAUUUCCACUUCCAUUUGCUUGUUUUUGAUGCUUGGAGCUUGUCUUUGCAUUUCCAUGGUGGAUGUUGGGUUUGAGUAACUUUAUAUUUCGUUUUCC
RNAcentral lists this long non-coding RNA (226 nucleotides) under Vigna radiata. RNAcentral's name for it is "long non-coding RNA (VRAD_LNC016485)". The record is from RNAcentral. Lineage: Eukaryota; Viridiplantae; Streptophyta; Magnoliopsida; Fabales; Fabaceae.